UACGUAGGUGGCAAGCGUUGUCCGGAAUUAUUGGGCGUAAAGCGCGCGCAGGCGGUCCUUUAAGUCUGAUGUGAAAGCCCACGGCUCAACCGUGGAAGGUCAUUGGAAACUGGGGGACUUGAGUACAGAAGAGGAGAGCGGAAUUCCACGUGUAGCGGUGAAAUGCGUAGAGAUGUGGAGGAACACCAGUGGCGAAGGCGGCUUUCUGGUCUGUAACUGACGCUGAGGCGCGAAAGCGUGGGGAGCAAACAGG
RNAcentral lists this ribosomal RNA (253 nucleotides) under uncultured bacterium. RNAcentral's name for it is "partial 16S ribosomal RNA". It matches the Rfam family "Bacterial small subunit ribosomal RNA", at positions 524 to 776 of the family's 1533-position model. The record is from RNAcentral.